UGCGGAGGGUGCGAGCGUUAAUCGGAAUUACUGGGCGUAAAGCGUACGUAGGCGGUUGGUUAAGUUAGAUGUGAAAGCCCCGGGCUUAACCUGGGAACUGCAUUUAAAACUGGCGAACUAGAGUUGAGUAGAGGGGAGUGGAAUUUCAGGUGUAGCGGUGAAAUGCGUAGAGAUCUGAAGGAACACCAGUGGCGAAGGCGACUCCCUGGACUCGAACUGACGCUGAGGUACGAAAGCGUGGGUAGCAAACGGGAUUAGAUACCCCAGUAGUCC
RNAcentral lists this ribosomal RNA (273 nucleotides) under uncultured bacterium. Its description in RNAcentral is "partial 16S ribosomal RNA". It matches the Rfam family "Bacterial small subunit ribosomal RNA", at positions 524 to 796 of the family's 1533-position model. The record is from RNAcentral.